RNAcentral lists this ribosomal RNA (435 nucleotides) under uncultured bacterium. Its description in RNAcentral is "bacterial SSU rRNA". It matches the Rfam family "Bacterial small subunit ribosomal RNA", at positions 29 to 507 of the family's 1533-position model. The record is from RNAcentral.
AACGAACGCUGGCGGCAGGCCUAACACAUGCAAGUCGAGCGCGCCCUUCGGGGUGAGCGGCGGACGGGUUAGUAACGCGUGGGAACGUACCCCUUUUCUACGGAAUAGUCUCGGGAAACUGAGGGUAAUACCGUAUAAGCCCUUCGGGGGAAAGAUUUAUCGGGAAAGGAUCGGCCCGCGUUAGAUUAGAUAGUUGGUGGGGUAAUGGCCUACCAAGUCUACGAUCUAUAGCUGGUUUUAGAGGAUGAUCAGCAACACUGGGACUGAGACACGGCCCAGACUCCUACGGGAGGCAGCAGUGGGGAAUCUUAGACAAUGGGCGCAAGCCUGAUCUAGCCAUGCCGCGUGUGUGAUGAAGGUCUUAGGAUCGUAAAGCACUUUCGCCAGGGAUGAUAAUGACAGUACCUGGUAAAGAAACCCCGGCUAACUACCGUG